AGGGAGAGGGAGACAGGUUGGUGGGGAUAGAAGAGUAGCAGGGAGAGGGAGACAGGUUGGUGGGGAGAGAAGAGUAGCAGGGAGAGGAAGACAGCUUGGUGGGGAGAGAAGAGUGUCCGGGAGAGGGAGACAGGUUGGUGGGGAAAGAAGAGUAGCAGGGAGAGGGAGACAGCUUGGUGGGGAGAGAAGAGUAGCAGGGAGAGGAAGACAGCUUGGUGGGGAGAGAAGAGUGUCCGGGAGAGGGAGACAGGUUGGUGGGGAAAGAAGAGUAGCAGGGAGAGGGAGACAGGUUGGUGGGGAUAGAAUAGUAGCAGGGAGAGGGAGACAGGUUUGUGGGGAGAGAAGAGUAGCAGGGAGAGGAAGACAGCUUGGUGGGGAGAGAAGAGUGUCCGGGAGAGGGAGACAGGUUGGUGGGGAAAGAAGAGUAGCAGGGAGAGGGAGACAGGUUGGUGGGGAGAGAAGAGUAGCAGGGAGAGGAAGACAGCUUGGUGGGGAGAGAAGAGUAGCAGGGAGAGGGAGACAGCUUGGUGGGGAGAGAAGAGUAGCAGGGAGAGGGAGACAGCUUGGUGGGGAGAGAAGAGUAGCAGGGAGAGGG
Molecule: long non-coding RNA, 595 nt
Organism: Oncorhynchus tshawytscha (Chinook salmon)
Lineage: Eukaryota; Metazoa; Chordata; Actinopteri; Salmoniformes; Salmonidae
Source: Ensembl